CUCAGUCCUUAGCCUCUUCAAGAGACUCGCCUGCCUUGCUGCCUAUGCUCCGCUCUGUACCGUACCUAGCUAUGGGACCGCUGAGCCGGGCGCUUCGAGUCCUCGAGGGAAGCCAGCGCCGAGCGGUCCCUGCGGAGUCAAGACCUCAGGGAACGGUCGGCGCUUCCAACGGUACCGUCGUUUGCUCUCAAGUUCUUAACCUAUCCAGAUUUCAGAAGGCCCCUGAUUUUUACUUCACGCAGGUACAGGGAGCUCUCUGAGCGACCAGUAGAAUAAGCAGGAAUGGUUGGUCAUUGAAGUGAAAAAAACCCAACCGGAGGGAUCGGCCGUUUACUCUGUUGUUCCAUAGAGGCAUAGACCAUAGGUACCUGUUCUUCGUUCAGUUGAUUUUGGGUAACAUUAGCUUUGGAGGACAGUCGCCUCCUCUGGCUCUGGGAUUUCUAUUGAGAGAAGUAGCUCCUCUCUAUUACCUUAAACAAGUCAGCCUUGUUUAGUUCCCAAAAAAUUUUACAAAAUUUUUCAGAUUCCCCGUCACAUCAGAUCUUUAGACGCAUGCAUAGAGUAUUAAAUAUAGAUGAAAAUAAAAACUAAUUGCAUAGUUUGGUCGGAAUUGAUGGGACGGAUCUUUUGAGCCUAGUUAAUCCAUGAUUGGACAAUAUUUUUCACAAACAAACGAAAGUGCUACAGUACCUGUUUUGCAAAAUUUUUUGGAACUAAACAAGGCCGAGAAAGAUUAGCAUCCAAAAAUCAUGAAAACCUGGCCAGCAUUGCCAAGUGGUGUCCUUCAGUGUCUCACAUUCUUUUAUUCAAAUGUAAAUACAAUAUAUGAAGCUGUUUGGCCAGCCCCGUUUAAACCAAAAUACUCCCAGGCUAAGGAUAAUAUGCUGAAAUCUACAUGAUAAAAACAAUUGUGCUCGUGCAAGGUUAAUUACUAAUUGAACCGAGCUAAAAUCUUGCUGAACUUGAUAUCCGCGAGCUAGGUAUCCUUUCACCUCUGUAAAUGACAAGUGAACCAUGACGCAUAACCGUCUUCAAUUGUUCGUGCAUCCCUCUACCUCUGUCUUCUUCUUGGCACCGGCUUUUUUCAUUUGCACCAUCUUUAGUUUCUUCUUGUGGCAAGAUUUGUUCCGACUCACCAUUUUCAGGUCCUACUUUCUUGUUUUUGCAGAAAUGGGUUAUCAAGGCGACCACAAGAGAAGUGGUUGAGGCAACUCCAGUAGCGAUGAUGGGUCCUGCAAAGCUGUCAAAGGUCAGGCUACCUGUACCAGAGAUGGUGCCCACAUUUUGGCAGUUAUUUUGAUCUCCUAUCCAUUUCUUCUCGAUUUGAAUGAUCGUAUCUCCCCCUGUUAUGUUCAGGAUUGCCUGUGAGAUGUCGCCAAUUAAGGGCGACCCCUUCUGGAAUGCCUAAGGAAGAUGAUAAACCCAGGUCAGUUUGUCCCAUCAGUGUGCAAACUGAAAUAAAGCUUUAUUUGAACUUGGUUACCCCAAAGUAAUGAACUUAAUAAACACAGUCAAACUUACAUAUCCAAAACCCGCAGUCUUAUAUAUUGGCCCAACCAUGGUGUAUCCCUUGCAGUGCUCUGCAAGAAAUAGUUUGAUGUAUGGGAUUUCAUCUACAUGGGCAGCAAUACCACCAUUCUUGCUUCCCUUGGAAAGUGCAUUGUGAUAAUCUUCAGGGGUUUCAUAGGGCUUGAUCUUUGAUGCGUCAAACCCAAGUUCUUCCAAAAGACCCUUGAUGUAGGAACCACGUGAAUACCCAACAGAUUCUCCGGUUUUUAGGAGUUCAUCGACAUUUGUUACAGUUGGUUGGAGCUGUUGCACAGUUAGCAUGGAUGUCAAGCUUGCGGUGUAGCUUGAUUUAAGUACCAUUAGGAAGAACAGCCAUAUGACCAAUACGAUCCGUGAGAUCAGGCGUUUCACCUUCUCUUCUGCAGAAAUUACAUUAUGAGUUAAUGCUAUUUCAGACAUCAUAAAUGAAAGUUCUGAAAAUAAAAAUUAAUUCAUCAAACUCGAGAUUUUGUUAUCUUUUCAGACAUAUGGUGGGAGUUAUUCUUUCUUGCUUUUCUAAAUUCGUAUUUGCCUAGUAUCUCUGUAUACACUGUUUGCCUUGGCUUCCUAUUUAGGCACAUUUGAGAUCGCUUAUGACCUUAGCAUGUUAGUGGAGACCUUGCAUAUGAUGGUAAUAUAUUCCUUCUUGCACUUUUAGAAUUUCAUACUGUUUGGUUAGUUCCCAAUACAUGAUUUGUCUCCUUGUUUACGCACUUGUGUGCUUAGGACAUGGCUUAAAAAGACAGCACAGUUAGUGGAAAACAUAUAAAAUACACAUUUCUUUUUCCAAGUUAUGGAAUUUUUCUGUAUGAAAGUCACUUGCCAGGAUAAAAAACAUAUCAACUUGAUCGUUAUGCUGUACAGGGAAAAAAGUAUUGUGAUAGGAACACUCAACUCUCUUCAAACAGUGAAAAAUAUAUCAUUGUAGCUAGCUGUCGUGGAAUUGGACCACGAACAUUCUUGUUGUCUCCUAGAUGCUCCAACAACCAUAUCACGAUGCCUGUGUAGAUAAAGAGUAUGAUGGUUCCAAACCACAUGCCUGGUGUCAGUGGCUUCAAAAAAAUCCAGGCAUUCUUGUUUAUGCUUUCCUUGACAGGGACAACCAUUGCUAUCCCUGAUUCAGUGUAUGGCAGAGUGAAGUCAACGUACAAACUUCUGUUGUACCUAAUUGUUAUGUCUCCAACUGCUAUGUCAUACUUCUGCCAGAGUGUAAGAGAAAAUUGUUUAACCAAGAGUGGGGUUGGAUGAAAGAACGAAUUGUGUUGAUGACAAAGUAAGGUUAUAAAAAGCUUAAGGCCUUGUUUGGAUGUAGUCGGAUUCACAUCAAUCCACAUGUGUUGAGGUGGAUUGGAGUGGAAUUUGAACUAAAUUCCACUCCAACCCACACCAACACACAUGGAUUAAAGUGAAUCCGACAACAUCCAAACAAGGCCUAAAUUUUCUUUUCUUCUAUUAUGGUUCUGUAACCAUUGACUAAACUAACACGAUUCAAAUAAUUGAAGUAGUUUGAAGUGACACCAUGAGUCCAUGAUAUGUAAUAUCAGAUCUUGGAAGAGCAUUUGUGCGACUUAUAUACUUUUGACUUGAAAAGGUAAACGUGCAAAGUAUAUGUUACCUUAAGAUAAACCUGGUAGACAAAAUCAUCAUAGCUAGAACUUACAUUCCCUGUUGUGUUAAAUACUACGUAUUCAUAAGGAAGUGCAUAAGGAAGUCGCUUUACUGCCUCUUCAAAUAUUUCAAUUGCAAGGCCGCUUGCUUUAACCAAACCUCUAAGGGAGUCUUCACUGGCAUCUAUGUAUUUUGGAAACCCUCCGCCUAUGACUAUACCAACUUGAAGCUUCUUGCCAUCUAUUGGAAUUUCCCAUCCUCUGGGCACCUCUGUUGAUUCUCCUGGCCAAAUCACGGUAUUCAAAUUAUAUGUGGUGCUCGAGUAUGUUGUGUUUGUUAUCCUUUGGUCUGAUAGCUGUGAAAUUCCAUUUUGUGUGGUACAAUACCCAAUCACUCUAUGUGCUUUUCCAACUACAUUUAUUAUUUGAAACAUGGAAACUUGCAGCUCCCCAUCUGAAAGAUCAAAGUAACCACUUAAGCCUUUGAAUUUUGUUUGCAAGAUUGCCUGUAGGAAUGCCAGACUCUUUCUUGAAUUUUCUAAGGUUCCUAAACUUGUUGAGUUUUUCAGUGCAGAUGGUCUUUGAGAUUUUUCUUCAGUAACCUUUGCCUUUUCUGCUGCUUGUGCCACCGCCCAGAUUGUAUCAUAGCUCCAUAGUCCAAAAACACUUAAUUUCAAUGUUGGGUCAUUUGGAUGAUCAUUUCGGGACCUCAUGUACCAUCUCAUGGUGAAAUUGUCAGUCUUGUUGAUUUAGGAACAUAGAACUGAACCCCCAAGGCACCAUUCAUUGCUUCCACAACUGAAGGAUUUAGUGAAUCUAUGAGAUUUGCUAGCCCAUCUGUUAUGAUCCAAACAAAUCCCUUCCUCAUCAUGCCAAUUUCCUUUGCUUUUGUGAAGAAGAGGGAGCCCAAGGAGGAGGCCAUGUGCACAACGAAGACCCUUGUUUGCAUUGUCAUCAGCUUGUAGAGUUCUUGAGUAAUUUGUUCACCUGUUGCUGAUUCAUCUAUUGCACUCCGAUAAGGAAUAUGGGCAUCUAUUCCUUCAAGGACAUUGAAAAGGUCUGGUAGUAUACCUCUACCAUAAUCAUUAUCUACAUAGAUAGGUACCACCUUUCUCCAUCCAUAGGCCUUGAUUAUGGAGGCAAUGCUACUCACUUGUGCAGAGUCACACGCUGUUGCUUGAACAAAAUAUGGAAGACUCUGGGAAGACAAAGACGUGCUUGUUGCUGUGAAUGAGAUAAUUGGAACUUGAUAUCUAUUUCCAAGAGCCGAUACGAACACA
This 4435-nucleotide long non-coding RNA is filed under the name Sorghum bicolor (sorghum). Its description in RNAcentral is "long non-coding RNA (SBIC_LNC006195)". The stretch from base 2857 to 2965 matches the Rfam family "MIR5565 microRNA precursor family". The record is from RNAcentral. Lineage: Eukaryota; Viridiplantae; Streptophyta; Magnoliopsida; Poales; Poaceae.